GGAACGGUAGGGGGGAGGGGUCGGAAUACAUAAUGGGGACUGGAAUGAAAGGCAGGCAGAGAGUAGGGGAACAGAAAGAAGAUACAAAUACGUAUGUAUAUAGGAACGGAUGAGACAGAAAGAGAGAGACAAAGCGAAGAGAGAGAGAGAGAGA
This is a long non-coding RNA of Bombus impatiens (common eastern bumble bee), 154 nucleotides long. RefSeq lists it as uncharacterized. Lineage: Eukaryota; Metazoa; Arthropoda; Insecta; Hymenoptera; Apidae. The record is from RefSeq and is a predicted model, not a curated record. The transcript has 3 exons.